GAGGCUCGCGCUGUGUUCUUGUUCCUGCCCCGUCUGCGUGGGCGGUGGACGCGGACGUGGAGCGACGAGGGUUUCCCUCAGGAUAGCUGGCAUUCAUUGGCAUAAUCAGUUUUAUCCGGUAAAGCGAAUGAUUAGAGGUGCUGGGUUCGAAACGAGCUCAACAGUUUCUCAAACUUUAAAUGGGUGAGAGGCUCGACUCGCCCCGCUAUGU
This 211-nucleotide ribosomal RNA is filed under the name Dipylidium caninum. RNAcentral's name for it is "partial large subunit ribosomal RNA". The stretch from base 71 to 211 matches the Rfam family "Eukaryotic large subunit ribosomal RNA", at positions 966 to 1100 of the family's 3401-position model. The record is from RNAcentral. Lineage: Eukaryota; Metazoa; Platyhelminthes; Cestoda; Cyclophyllidea; Dipylidiidae.